AGAUCGGAAAAGCCGAUCGAAGCCGAAGGGGGCCGGGGAACCAGAGUGGAGCACCUGCUCCCGUGGGGCGUAGGUCGUUCGGACCGAGGGUCAUUUCUCAACACCCCGCCCGACAGCUAACCCGGUUGGCGAAGAGAAGAUAU
This 143-nucleotide small RNA is filed under the name Corynebacterium sp. Its description in RNAcentral is "c-di-AMP sequence". It matches the Rfam family "c-di-AMP riboswitch aptamer (ydaO/yuaA leader)". Rfam says of the family: This family represents a conserved RNA structure found upstream of the ydaO and yuaA genes in Bacillus subtilis and related genes in other bacteria. The ydaO/yuaA element is thought to act as a genetic "off" switch for the ydaO and yuaA genes in its native state. It is believed that the element may be triggered during osmotic shock leading to activation of ydaO, a predicted amino acid transporter gene, and members of the yuaA-yubG operon which code for KtrA and KtrB K+ transporters. The record is from RNAcentral. Lineage: Bacteria; Bacillati; Actinomycetota; Actinomycetes; Mycobacteriales; Corynebacteriaceae.